RNAcentral lists this ribosomal RNA (775 nucleotides) under uncultured Neocallimastigales. RNAcentral's name for it is "partial large subunit ribosomal RNA". It matches the Rfam family "Eukaryotic large subunit ribosomal RNA", at positions 26 to 629 of the family's 3401-position model. Lineage: Eukaryota; Fungi; Neocallimastigomycota; Neocallimastigomycetes; Neocallimastigales. The record is from RNAcentral.
CGCAUCUGUGCAUGCAGCAUAUCAAUAAGCGGAGGAAAAGAAACUAACAAGGAUUCCCCUAGUAACGGCGAGUGAAGCGGGAAGAGCUCAAAUUUGAAAUCUUAAAGGGUUUCCCUUUACGAAUUGUAGUUUAAAGAAGUGUUUUCUGUUGAGGUUUUGGUAAAAGUUCUUUGGAAUAGGACAUCAUAGAGGGUGAGAAUCCCGUAUUUGACCUUUACUUUCAACUUUGUGAUACACUUUCAAAGAGUCGGAUUGUUUGGGAAUGCAGUCCAAAAUGGGUGGUAAAUUUCAUCUAAAGCUAAAUAUUGGCGAGAGACCGAUAGCGAACAAGUACCGUGAGGGAAAGGAUGAAAAGAACUUUGAAAAGAGAGUUAAACAGUACGUGAAAUUGUCAAAAGGGAAGCGUUUGACACCAGUGUUGUUUUUCUGAAAAUCAAUUAAAGAACUGUUUAUGCUAAGCUGUUUAGACUUUAUCAGCUAACUGUCUAGUUUUGAGCUUUUCUUUAAUGCACUUUUCAGUUAACAAGUCAACAUCAAUUUCUUUUGCUGUAAAAAAGCUUGAGGAAGGUGGCUUGAGAUUCGUCUUAAGUGUUUAUAGCCUCUUGCCUACGCAGUCGGAGAGAUUGAGGUCUGCAGCGUAGAUCCUUCGGGGCUAAAUGCAUUUGUGCUAAGUUAUAGCAUUUUAUAGACAACUUGUUGACUAUGAUUUGUCUUGUAGCUUACUCGCUUAUGUUAUUUUACCUACGCUUAGGAUGUUGACAGCAGUAUAGACUGU